UAUCUGAAUGGAGAAGGUCAAGGGCAUG
Molecule: non-coding RNA, 28 nt
Filed under: Rattus norvegicus (Norway rat)
Lineage: Eukaryota; Metazoa; Chordata; Mammalia; Rodentia; Muridae
Source: RNAcentral